Molecule: ribosomal RNA, 428 nt
Filed under: uncultured soil bacterium
Lineage: Bacteria
Description: bacterial SSU rRNA
Rfam family: Bacterial small subunit ribosomal RNA
Source: RNAcentral
AGAACGAACGCUGGCGGCAUGCCUAAUACAUGCAAGUCGAACGAACUCUUCGGAGUUAGUGGCGCACGGGUGCGUAACGCGUGGGAAUCUGCCCUUGGGUUCGGAAUAACAGUUGGAAACGACUGCUAAUACCGGAUGAUGACGAAAGUCCAAAGAUUUAUCGCCCAGGGAUGAGCCCGCGUAGGAUUAGCUAGUUGGUGAGGUAAAGGCUCACCAAGGCGACGAUCCUUAGCUGGUCUGAGAGGAUGAUCAGCCACACUGGGACUGAGACACGGCCCAGACUCCUACGGGAGCAGCAGUAGGGAAUAUGGACAAUGGGCGCAAGCCUGAUCCAGCAAUGCCGCGUGAGUGAUGAAGGCCUUAGGGUUGUAAAGUCUCUUUACCCGAGAUGAUAAUGACAGUAUCGGAAGAAUAACGCCCGACUAACC